Molecule: ribosomal RNA, 754 nt
Filed under: uncultured bacterium
Lineage: Bacteria
Description: bacterial SSU rRNA
Rfam family: Bacterial small subunit ribosomal RNA
Source: RNAcentral
AGAGUUUGAUCCUGGCUCAGAUUGAACGCUGGCGGCAUGCCUUACACAUGCAAGUCGAACGGCAGCACGGGAGCAAUCCUGGUGGCGAGUGGCGAACGGGUGAGUAAUAUAUCGGAACGUACCUUGGAGUGGGGGAUAACGUAGCGAAAGUUACGCUAAUACCGCAUAUUCUGUGCGCAGGAAAGCAGGGGAUCUUAGGACCUUGUGCUCUUUGAGCGGCCGAUAUCAGAUUAGCUAGUUGGUGAGGUAAAGGCUCACCAAGGCGACGAUCUGUAGCGGGUCUGAGAGGAUGAUCCGCCACACUGGAACUGAGACACGGUCCAGACUCCUACGGGAGGCAGCAGUGGGGAAUUUUGGACAAUGGGGGCAACCCUGAUCCAGCCAUGCCGCGUGAGUGAAGAAGGCCUUCGGGUUGUAAAGCUCCUUCGGCCGGGAAGAAAUCGCAUCGGUUAAUACCCGGUGUGGAUGACGGUACCGGAAUAAGAAGCACCGGCUAACUACGUGCCAGCAGCCGCGGUAAUACGUAGGGUGCGAGCGUUAAUCGGAAUUACUGGGCGUAAAGCGUGCGCAGGCGGUUUGUUAAGAUAGGCGUGAAAUCCCCGGGCUCAACCUGGGAACUGCGCUUAUGACUGGCAGGCUAGAGUACGGCAGAGGGGGGUGGAAUUCCACGUGUAGCAGUGAAAUGCGUAGAGAUGUGGAGGAACACCAAUGGCGAAGGCAGCCCCCUGGGUCGAUACUGACGCUCAUGCACGAA